This 86-nucleotide transfer RNA is filed under the name Desulfovibrio sp. OttesenSCG-928-A18. RNAcentral's name for it is "tRNA-Tyr". It matches the Rfam family "tRNA". Rfam says of the family: Transfer RNA (tRNA) molecules are approximately 80 nucleotides in length. Their secondary structure includes four short double-helical elements and three loops (D, anti-codon, and T loops). The record is from RNAcentral. Lineage: Bacteria; Pseudomonadati; Thermodesulfobacteriota; Desulfovibrionia; Desulfovibrionales; Desulfovibrionaceae.
GGUGGGGUUCCCGAGUGGCCAAAGGGAACAGACUGUAAAUCUGUCGUCAUACGACUUCGGAGGUUCAAAUCCUCCCCCCACCACCA